AUGUCUAUGGCGAUUUCUGCUCAAUGUAUUAUAAAUAGCCGCAGUACCCUGACUGUGCUAAGGUAGCAUAAUCAAUAGGCUUAUAAUUCAAGUCUGGUAUGAAGGAAGUUUUGGGGGGUAACUGUCUCUUUGAGAAUUUUUGAAAUUUUUAAAAAAGUGCAAAAACUUUUAUAUAAUUAUUAGACGAGAAGACCCUAGAAAUUUUUUAAGGUAUUUUGUUGGGGCGACAAAGUAACAAUUAUUAACUUACUUUUAUAUUAUUGGAAGUGUGCUACACAGAUUAUAUAAAUUACUCUAGGGAUAACAGCAUAAUUAUGAAAUAGUUUGUGACCUCGAUGUUGGACUAGGUAGCAUUAAGUUUAGAAGAUUUAAGCGAUGGCUCUGUUCGAGCAAUUUAUACCUACCUGAUCUGGAUUCAGACCGG
Molecule: ribosomal RNA, 424 nt
Filed under: Praticolella trimatris
Lineage: Eukaryota; Metazoa; Mollusca; Gastropoda; Stylommatophora; Polygyridae
Description: partial 16S ribosomal RNA
Rfam family: Archaeal large subunit ribosomal RNA
Source: RNAcentral